This 701-nucleotide ribosomal RNA is filed under the name Bacillus subtilis. RNAcentral describes it as "bacterial SSU rRNA". It matches the Rfam family "Bacterial small subunit ribosomal RNA", at positions 68 to 751 of the family's 1533-position model. The record is from RNAcentral. Lineage: Bacteria; Bacillati; Bacillota; Bacilli; Caryophanales; Bacillaceae.
GGACAGAUGGGAGCUUGCUCCCUGAUGUUAGCGGCGGACGGGUGAGUAACACGUGGGUAACCUGCCUGUAAGACUGGGAUAACUCCGGGAAACCGGGGCUAAUACCGGAUGGUUGUUUGAACCGCAUGGUUCAGACAUAAAAGGUGGCUUCGGCUACCACUUACAGAUGGACCCGCGGCGCAUUAGCUAGUUGGUGAGGUAACGGCUCACCAAGGCGACGAUGCGUAGCCGACCUGAGAGGGUGAUCGGCCACACUGGGACUGAGACACGGCCCAGACUCCUACGGGAGGCAGCAGUAGGGAAUCUUCCGCAAUGGACGAAAGUCUGACGGAGCAACGCCGCGUGAGUGAUGAAGGUUUUCGGAUCGUAAAGCUCUGUUGUUAGGGAAGAACAAGUGCCGUUCAAAUAGGGCGGCACCUUGACGGUACCUAACCAGAAAGCCACGGCUAACUACGUGCCAGCAGCCGCGGUAAUACGUAGGUGGCAAGCGUUGUCCGGAAUUAUUGGGCGUAAAGGGCUCGCAGGCGGUUUCUUAAGUCUGAUGUGAAAGCCCCCGGCUCAACCGGGGAGGGUCAUUGGAAACUGGGGAACUUGAGUGCAGAAGAGGAGAGUGGAAUUCCACGUGUAGCGGUGAAAUGCGUAGAGAUGUGGAGGAACACCAGUGGCGAAGGCGACUCUCUGGUCUGUAACUGACGCUGAGG